GGGGCUAUAGCUCAGCAGCGGGGCAUCUGCCUUGCAUGCAGAAAGUCCCAGGUUCAUUUCCUGGCAUCUCUA
Non-coding RNA from Podarcis lilfordi (Lilford's wall lizard), 72 nucleotides. Lineage: Eukaryota; Metazoa; Chordata; Lepidosauria; Squamata; Lacertidae. The record is from the annotation of a GenBank genome assembly.